AAUGCCUGCAGGAACCACAUGGGGUAAAUGUGUGAGAUGGUUCUGGUAUUCAUUCUCCUUUUUCUUGAAGCACUAUCUUUUGUUAUUUUUUUUCUCUUUCAUUUUCUUUUUUAUUUACCUUUGAUAGAGAUGUUAGAAGACAGUUUAUUGUGAAAUAUAAACAAAUGUGAUGGUAAGGGCAACUUAUGCUUCUAAGAGGUUAGGGGAGUGUUUGGGAUUGUGGUUAUUAACUGGAACAUUCACCAUUCAUCUAAAGGGGGGGCACAACUUGUUGAUACUUGGGCCUAGGGAUGCCAGGAUAUUUGGCUCUGUAUAAGAAAUCUGGUUGGCUUCAAUUCUUUUUUUUUUUUUAAAUGCGUCAGUCCGAUGGAAUAUUUUUAUAAAUACUUUUAUAAUUUUAUGAAUAGUUUCUGCUUUUUCACAAUUUUGGCUUAUUGUAAUGUUACCAUUUCUCGUAUGUCAUGACACGCUAUCUGUUCAACUCAGUUUGGGGCUUGGGCUUAGCAGUUUGUUUUGGAAGUGUUUGGAAUUGGACCAGUUUAUUUGAAUUCAGCUGUAUAAAUUAGAAUGAAAUAGAUUGGGAAAGAAUAGAUUAAG
RNAcentral lists this long non-coding RNA (597 nucleotides) under Marmota monax (woodchuck). The record is from RNAcentral. Lineage: Eukaryota; Metazoa; Chordata; Mammalia; Rodentia; Sciuridae.